UGAGCUAAACUAUUCACUCUAAUUAUACAACAGAAGCAUUUUAAAAUACUUGAACUGAAAAACAAAGCAUUGCAUUAACCAACCAUGAAUCCACCACCGGCACAGUUACCACCACCGUCACAACUACCACCACCACUUUCACCACCUCCACAACAACAUCCACCGCCAUUACUACCACCACCACCACCCCUAAACCUCAACACAACCCUCUCCUCUCUCACCAACCUCCUCACCUUCUCCACCCAAAUCCUCUCAACAACCCCCCAACCCCAAACCCCAACCACCAAUCUCAUCCCCUGCCUUUUCAAUCCCAACCAUCUCAUCCCACCACCGUCCCUCUUCCUCCACCACCUCCGCUGCCCUUCCUCUCCUCGUCCUCUCCCUCACAUCGAUCAUCUCCUCACUUCUCUCUCUUACCCUAAAACCCUCCAAAACCCUACCUCCAUUCACCUCUCUUCUUACCUCGAUUUCACAAACUUUUUCUACAACAAUUGCCCCGGCGUCGUUACCUUUUCCGACGCUAACUCCGUCGCUCAAACCGCCACAUUUCACCUCCCUGAUUUUUUAUCUCGAGAAUGUUCUACCGUGUGCUCACCCACACCCAAUCAUAAACCUUCUCCCAUUGUUCCUUCUGAAUACUAUUACAUUACCCGCGAAAUUGAAUCAUGGAACAAUUUUCCAAUUACAUACUCAAACUCUGUUUUUCGCGCAAUUUUUGGUAUUGGAAUUGCAAAAGAGAGUGAAAUGGUGAACUGGUUGUUAUCGAAUUCGUCUCGAUAUGGCAUUGUAAUUGAUACAUCUAUGCAGAAACAUAUUUUUUUGCUGUUUUGUUUAGGUUUCAAAGCAAUUCUUAGAGAUGCUUUUCUUUUGAAUAAUGUGUUAAUGUGGUUAGAAUCUCAGGUUUCAAUUCUGUAUGGUGUUAGUGGAAAAUUGUUUGUUCUUAAUUUUGUGAAGAAAUGUAUUCUGGUUGGUGCUUCGGCUCUGCUUUUGUUUCCGUUAGGGAACGAGGGUGGUGAGUCUGUUGGUUCGAAGGAAGGAAAGAGUGACACCAAUUGUAUUAGGGAGAGGAAAAUUUUGAUGCCGCAAGUUGUUGCUGCUGUUGCGGCGUUGCACGAACGAGCUUUGCUUGAACGUAAAAUUAAGGAAUUUUGGUUUUCUCAUCCGUCAAAUAACUAUCAGCUGAAAGCUGAGCAUUGUUAUUUAUCUGACAAAGCUAAGGAAGAGCGGAAUAAGCGUGCUGAUUAUAGACCUAUAAUUGAGUAUGAUUGGGUUCAUCAGCAGCAUUCACAUCACCAGGAAACACAAAAAGAGAAGACACGAGAGGAGUUACUGGCUGAAGAAAGGGAUUAUAAACGUCGAAGAAUGUCUUAUCGGGGCAAGAAAAGAAAUCAAUCAACUAUACAGGUGAUGAGGGACCUGAUAGGGGAAUACAUGGAGGAAAUCAAGCUGGCUGCAGGUGUUAAGAGCCCUGUCAAUGUUUCUGAAGACAGUGGGAUGCCUCCACCUCCGCCUAAACUUCUUUCUAGUCACACGAUUUCUACGGAAGCCAAUAAUUCAAGAGAAGUUAGUCAUGACUCACCUGCAGUGACAAUCAGUAACCCAGAUCAUCACGAGCAACAAUCUCACACAAAUUAUUCUGACAAAAGCAAAGUUGUACAUGAUGCUACUUCUAGAGAUUAUGAACAACGUAAACAAGGACAUCAGGGGAGUCACCAUCAUGGAGGAGAUGAACGAGGUACUGAUCAAGAAAACCAUAGGAGUCAUGCGUCAACAAGCCCUGAAAGACAUAGAAGUCGUAGUCGAUCACAUGAGCAUAGAGUUCAUCAUGAGAAACAAGAUUACUCAGGUAGAAAGAAGUAUAAUAACUCGUCAAGAACCAAGGAUAGGUGGCAAAAUGACACACACAAGAAUCACACAUCAGAUUCUUUCUCAAGAAGUGAUCCUUCAGAAUCUCGUGGUGUUGGGGAGCAUGAUAUCUCAUCUGAUGACAAAUAUAUCAAGCCAGAUAAAUUUUAGCGUAAGGAACUUAAUUAACCGCACAGGCCAAAACUAUGAAGGCAUUACAUCUGCAGUGGUCUUAGCAUACCAAGCUAGCUUUGGCGCUUUUAUCACUGUAUCCUCCUUUGUAUCCUUAACUUUGAAAGAGUAUCUUAGAAGCAUUCGUUGGAGUGAUUUUACUGUCCAUAUUAUCACUAUUGCAUUCUUUAUUUUCCUUCUCAAGAUAAAAGCAACAAAAUUCAAUUAUGGCAACCACAAAGAAAAUCUAUUUCCAUCAAUAAAUGUUUCUCAUUGUUUACCUAGAAUUUUGUUGUUGUUGUUGUUGUUGUUGUUUUUAGUUUAAUUACAUGAUAAAUGUGUCUCUAGGAGAAAAGAAACAAGAUGUUAAUGUUCUACUUCAGAUAUUGGCUAAUUUAACUACUUGGAAAGCAAUUAUAUAGGUUCCUAUGUCUUCUAGAGGCUUUAGGUAUUAAGAUGAAGCAACUUCAGUGUGUUUUUGGUAAAUGGUUGUUCUAUUUUGUCUCAAUAUACAGUGAUUUGAUUUGAAUUCUUUUUAAAUCUCUAGUAUUUUUCUUGUCAUCGACUCCCCUGUUUUGUUCUCCUCUCCCAAUCACAUGCUGCUAAUCUUAACUGAAAAUGUGCAAAGGCUGGCCGAACAUUGUCGUUAUCAUCUAUUUAUAUAUUGCCUUAAAAUUUAUUAAAUAUUUCAGCAUUAUCUGAUAUCAGAAUGCCUUUGAUGGCUUACUUACUUUGCGUUGAUUUCAUUCAGGUAGAAAAAAAACAGAACAUCUCAAUAUCUGUCUGAAUUCCCUCUAUUCUUUUUUCGUUUUCUGUUUCUGAGUUCCAGGCUCAUCAAUUGACUUCUUUGUUUCUACAUUUUUUAGUAGUAGUGAGACUCAGCUGUGAUGAAGUGACUUCAAUGUCAGGACUGCAGAUGCUAGUGACUACAGAGGAAGUCUGGGCUCAGCAUGAAACAGUACCAAACUUUUUUUUAUUGCAAGAGAAGUCGUCUCAGUUCUUUCUUUGCACAAGGGCUGAGCAGUCUUAUGUCGUAAGAUGGAUUGUGACCUGCCUCUGCCCAUUUUUUAGAACUUAACUUUAUUUUGGAAGAAUAUCCAGUCCACAGGUUCUCUCCAUUGGAUAAUAUGUUUUUCUUGUCAACAUUGUUUUUUUUGGUUACUUUGUAUGAUAUAACCAUAAUGUUGUGCAAUAUGCUCGGUAAUGGAGGAACAAACUUUAGAAAUUUUGAUUCUCAAGCAACAAGAGCAAUUGCUGCCAUUUUACCUGGGAAGUAGUAUAUUUGCCAGUUUUGUCUAAUUACUCAACAAAUCCAUGAAGUGUAUGAUUUA
Molecule: RNA transcript, 3347 nt
Organism: Medicago truncatula (barrel medic)
Lineage: Eukaryota; Viridiplantae; Streptophyta; Magnoliopsida; Fabales; Fabaceae
Gene name: U11/U12 small nuclear ribonucleoprotein 48 kDa protein
Exons: 6
Source: RefSeq, a predicted model, not a curated record